RNAcentral lists this ribosomal RNA (630 nucleotides) under uncultured bacterium. RNAcentral's name for it is "bacterial SSU rRNA". The stretch from base 1 to 530 matches the Rfam family "Bacterial small subunit ribosomal RNA", at positions 338 to 873 of the family's 1533-position model. The record is from RNAcentral.
CCUACGGGAGGCAGCAGUGGGGAAUUUUGUGCAAUGGGGGAAACCCUGACACAGCGACACCGCGUGAGCGAAGAAGCCCUUUGGGGUGUAAAGCUCUGUCAACGGGAACGAAAAAAUGACGGUACCCGUGGAGGAAGCAUCGGCUAACUACGUGCCAGCAGCCGCGGUAAGACGUAGGAUGCAAGCGUUGUCCGGAUUUAUUGGGCGUAAAGAGUUCGUAGGCUGUUUGUUAAGUCUGAUGUUAAAGACUGGGGCUCAACCUCGGAAAUGCAUUGGAUACUGGCAGACUGGAGUGCAGUAGAGGCUAGUGGAAUUCCCAGUGUAGCGGUGAAAUGCGUAGAUAUUGGGAAGAACACCGGUGGCGUAGGCGACUAGCUGGGCUGUAACUGACGCUGAGGAACGAAAGCCAGGGGAGCGAAUGGGAUUAGAUACCCCAGUAGUCCUGGCCGUAAACGAUGGAUACUAGUACGUAGUAGGUAGUACGACCCGUCGUCGUGUGCGCGACGCGUACGACGAGUAAGUAGUCCGUCCGUCGUAGUAGUACGGCCGGCCGAGGUUAGUAAACGUACGAAACGGAAAGUUAAGUACGGUCGUUGAGUACGUUGCCGACGGCGACGACGAGGGAGGAGG